GUCCAAUUGAAUCGCAGAAGUCCUAAAAGAAUUUCUCGACAUACAUCCUGACUGAAACUGGUGCUUUCUGCAAAAGAAAAGCAAGUUGACAGCCAAUUGUGGAGGAAAAGUUAUGAAAACUGGAGAAUGCGGGAGCUUUGCUGCCGAACAAUCAACUGUCAAUUUCCAGCUCGAUUAUAUAAACUUGAUAUUCGUAGACAAAGUGAUGGAUCCACCCUCCCCUACCCCGGUUUCCACUAAUCACCAGAAGAGAGUAAAGCAAGGAACACUUAGCUAACACUAAAGGAGGCAGCAGCUGUGAA
Molecule: long non-coding RNA, 302 nt
Organism: Suricata suricatta (meerkat)
Lineage: Eukaryota; Metazoa; Chordata; Mammalia; Carnivora; Herpestidae
Exons: 3
Source: RefSeq, a predicted model, not a curated record